Molecule: ribosomal RNA, 460 nt
Filed under: uncultured bacterium
Lineage: Bacteria
Description: partial 16S ribosomal RNA
Rfam family: Bacterial small subunit ribosomal RNA
Source: RNAcentral
CCUACGGGAGGCUGCAGUGAGGAAUAUUGGUCUAUCGGCGUGCGACUGAACCAGCCAAGUAGCGUGAAGGAUGACUGCCCUACUGGUUGUAAACUUCUUUUAUAAAGGAAUAAAGUGAGGCACGUGUGCCUUUUUGUAUGUACUUUAUGACUAAGGAUCGGCUAACUCCGUGCCAGCAGCCGAGGUAAUACGGAGGAUCCGAGCGUUAUCCGGAUUUAUUGGGUUUACAGGGAGCGUAGAUGGGUUGUUAAGUCAGUUGUGAAAGUUUGCGGCUCAACCGUAAAAUUGCAAUUGAUACUGGCAGUCUUGAGUACAGUUGAGGUAGGCGGAAUGCGUGGUGUAGCGGUGAAAUGCUUAGAUAUCACGAAGAACUCCGAUUGCGAAGGCAGCUUACUAAACUGCCACUGACAUUGAUGCUCGAAAGUGUGGGUAUCAAACAGGAUUAGAUACCCUAGUAGUC